UUUCCGUAGGUGAACCUGCGGAAGGAUCAUUCAUAAUAAAGUGUUAUAUGGCACUUUUUAAAAAUCCAUAUCCACCUUGUGUGCAAUGUUAGAUCUCGUCAAUCUUGGCGAGAUUUUUAUACAUCAACUCAUUUUUUAACUAAUUUGUCUGAAAAAUAUUAUGAAUACUUAAUUCAAAAUACAACUUUCAACAACGGAUCUCUUGGCUCUC
RNAcentral lists this unclassified non-coding RNA (211 nucleotides) under plant metagenome. Its description in RNAcentral is "partial contains small subunit ribosomal RNA, internal transcribed spacer 1, and 5.8S ribosomal RNA". The record is from RNAcentral.